This 453-nucleotide ribosomal RNA is filed under the name uncultured Barnesiella sp. Its description in RNAcentral is "partial 16S ribosomal RNA". It matches the Rfam family "Bacterial small subunit ribosomal RNA", at positions 341 to 792 of the family's 1533-position model. Lineage: Bacteria; Pseudomonadati; Bacteroidota; Bacteroidia; Bacteroidales; Barnesiellaceae. The record is from RNAcentral.
ACGGGAGGCAGCAGUGAGGAAUAUUGGUCAAUGGGCGGAAGCCUGAACCAGCCAAGUCGCGUGAAGGAUGAAGGUAUUAUGUAUUGUAAACUUCUUUAGACGUAGAGAAAUAAGGGGGUCGAGACCUCUGAUGCUAGUAUACGUAGAAUAAGGAUCGGCUAACUCCGUGCCAGCAGCCGCGGUAAUACGGAGGAUCCGAGCGUUAUCCGGAUUUAUUGGGUUUAAAGGGUGCGCAGGCGGCGCGUCAAGUCAGCGGUCAAAUCCCGGUGCUCAACGCCGGUCCGCCGUUGAAACUGCCGUGCUCGAGUUCGUGCGAGGAGAGCGGAAUGCGUGGUGUAGCGGUGAAAUGCAUAGAUAUCACGCAGAACGCCGAUUGCGAAGGCAGCCCUCCAGCACGCGACUGACGCUCAUGCACGAAAGCGUGGGUAUCGAACAGGAUUAGAUACCCUGGUA